UGAGUUGACCGGGUGGCCGCACGCCUCCUCGAGGAGGCGUGAGGAAAGUCGGGGCUCCGCAGGGCAGGGUGCUCGCGAAACGUGAGUCACGGUGACGUGCAGGAAAGUGCCACAGAGAACAGACCGCCGAUGGCCCCGCGAGGGGAUCAGGUGAGGGUGAAACGGUGCGGUAAGGGCGCACCAGCGUCCCGGGUGACUGGGGCGGCUCGGCAAACCCCACCCGGAGCAAGGUCAAACAUGGGAAUGCGGCCCGUAGGUCUCCUUCGAGACAUCCCAAGGUGGACCGCUCAGAUGGAUGGCCACACAGCCUCACACGAGGUGGACAGAACCCCGCUUACAGGUCAACUCACUAU
RNAcentral lists this RNase P RNA (353 nucleotides) under Acidobacteriota bacterium. RNAcentral describes it as "Acidobacteria bacterium (mine drainage metagenome) RNase P RNA component class A". It matches the Rfam family "Bacterial RNase P class A". From Rfam's summary of the family: Ribonuclease P (RNase P) is a ubiquitous endoribonuclease, found in archaea, bacteria and eukarya as well as chloroplasts and mitochondria. Its best characterised activity is the generation of mature 5'-ends of tRNAs by cleaving the 5'-leader elements of precursor-tRNAs. Cellular RNase Ps are ribonucleoproteins. The record is from RNAcentral. Lineage: Bacteria; Pseudomonadati; Acidobacteriota.